GACGAACGCUGGCGGCGUGCCUAAUACAUGCAAGUCGAACGCACUCUCGUUUAGAUUGAAGGAGCUUGCUCCUGAUUGAUAAACAUUUGAGUGAGUGGCGGACGGGUGAGUAACACGUGGGUAACCUGCCCUAAAGUGGGGGAUAACAUUUGGAAACAGAUGCUAAUACCGCAUAAAACCUAACACCGCAUGGUGUAGGGUUGAAAGAUGGUUUCGGCUAUCACUUUAGGAUGGACCCGCGGUGCAUUAGUUAGUUGGUGAGGUAAAGGCUCACCAAGACCGUGAUGCAUAGCCGACCUGAGAGGGUAAUCGGCCACACUGGGACUGAGACACGGCCCAGACUCCUACGGGAGGCAGCAGUAGGGAAUCUUCCACAAUAGGACGAAAGUACUGAU
This 395-nucleotide ribosomal RNA is filed under the name uncultured bacterium. Its description in RNAcentral is "bacterial SSU rRNA". It matches the Rfam family "Bacterial small subunit ribosomal RNA", at positions 28 to 387 of the family's 1533-position model. The record is from RNAcentral.